CUCACUCGAUCUAGCAGUAGGAGC
RNAcentral lists this non-coding RNA (24 nucleotides) under Arabidopsis thaliana (thale cress). The record is from RNAcentral. Lineage: Eukaryota; Viridiplantae; Streptophyta; Magnoliopsida; Brassicales; Brassicaceae.